Lactuca sativa (garden lettuce) is the source of this 993-nucleotide long non-coding RNA. RefSeq lists it as uncharacterized. NCBI's taxonomy places the organism in Eukaryota, Viridiplantae, Streptophyta, Magnoliopsida, Asterales, Asteraceae. The record is from RefSeq and is a predicted model, not a curated record.
GGCAAUCCAUGUGCCCAAAGCACAGAUAGUCUUCGAUGAAAAAUACACUUACCAAAACUCUUCCGGCAAUGGAUUCAAAUUUUGAAUCUUAAUUCCUAAUCUUAACUUUUUCAAAAUCUCACACUCUCUCCCUCAGAAACAACCAUCGAUCAUAUAUUUCCUCUCCCCCACCAUGUAUCGCCGCCUUCUCCACCAAAUACAACAACUUCAUCACUCACCACAUGCUCCACCGGUGUCGCCUUCUCCACUUCCAUAUGACCACCGCCCCACCACCAUCCAUCGAUGUCGCCUUUUUCGCUUCCACUAUGCCUCCCUCUAUUUCUUCUUCAAUAUAUAUGUAACUUAUCAACCACACCAUUUAUUUGAUGCUCUCUUUCUCUACUGUAGAAACGGGAAAGAUACCUGGGAAAGACACAAAUUCCAUCGCCAUUGCUGUAGAAUACAUCAUCUCAUGAUUAAAUAUCUUCCCCUGUCGAUCUACAAGGGAUUUUGACGUUUCUGGGAUUGAAAUCGAACAGGGGAUUGUAAUUUCUAACAUUCAAAUCGAACAGAAUCGCAGAUAGAGGAAAGAAAAGAAACUUGGAGACCAAACAUGAAGCCUAACCAUAAGAGGUUUGAUUUUGAUUUAUUUUUGCAUUUUUGCAGUCAAAGAUGGAUGAAGACAUAUCUGGAGGAGACAAGUCUGUGAAAUGAGUUGAAAGACAUUUUGAGCCAAAGAAGUGGGCAUCCUACUAGCCCUAAAAAAUAGAGCUGACAAUUCUCGACACGACCCGUGACACGACAGGAAAUAAAUGGGUUUGGGUUGAGUUUUUCAACCCGCCAACCCGCCUAUUAAACGGGUCAUAUAUGGGUUUUUCAAAAAAUAAAUGAGUUGACCCGCCAACCCGUUUAUAUACUCAAUAAAAAAAAUUAUUUUAUUUUUAAAUGUAUUUAUAUAUCAACUAUUAAUAUUUAAUAAGUCUUAUAUAAUAUAUAUCAUUGAUUAUUAGACCA